Rhinichthys klamathensis goyatoka is the source of this 608-nucleotide long non-coding RNA. RefSeq lists it as uncharacterized. The transcript has 3 exons. Lineage: Eukaryota; Metazoa; Chordata; Actinopteri; Cypriniformes; Leuciscidae. The record is from RefSeq and is a predicted model, not a curated record.
GUGUGUGUGUGUGUGUGUGUGUGUGCGCGUACACUUCCAUGUUGAGUGGUUUUUCAGCUAGGUCUACAACGUGAGGAAGUGGAACGUCUCAACUGCAAGCUAGAGCAGGAAAAACGAAAGAGGCAUGAUGUAGAAAACAGGUUCUUGAUGUACAGGCUGAAGAGUGCACAAAAACUGUUGGACAGCAAUGACUCAGACUCAGAUGAUCAUCAACAUACUGAAGACGAGGAUUCAAAACCAGGAACACAAGAGCAAGAAAGAGCACAGUCCGAAGAACCUUUCAUACAAACACCAGAGGGAGCUGGAGGCUGUGGAUGAAACUGAUACUUUCUACAUUAAAAUAUAUGAAAGACAAUUUAUACUAUGAUUGUAAACAUAAAACAUUCUGUAUGUUCAUGUUUAUUCAUUAUGCAGUGAUUUUCAUCAGAUUUCUAGGCAUGUCUGAGGGUGAUAUAAGUUGCAUUGUAUUCAUUAUAAAUGGUGUACCUUAUUGUAACUUUAUGCUUAUUUGUACUUCUGUCUCGUAUCGGUUUUGAAUGUCAUGUUUUAAGAGUUGCUCUCUUGGUUGCCAGAAGUGAAAGUCUCUGGACCAUCUAUAUACCCGCUUU